ACAGGCAGUGGCAUGAAGAUGGAGUCACAGAUCCAAGUCUUCAUAUUUUUGCUCCUCUGGAUAUCGGAUGCUGAAGGGAACAUUGUGAUGACUCAGUCUCCUGAAUUCAUGUUCGCAUCUGUUGGAGAAAGAAUCACCCUAAGCUGCAAGUCCAGUCAGAGUGUGGGUAGUUAUGUAGCUUGGUACCAGCAGAAAUCAGGGCAGCCUCCUAAACUGCUAAUCUAUGAUGCAUCCACUCGAUACACUGGGGUCCCUGAUCGCUUCACAGGCAGUGGAUCUGGGACAGAUUUCACUCUCUCCAUCAGCAGUGUGCAGGCUGAAGACCUGGCAGUUUAUUACUGUCAGCAACAUUACAGCUAUCCUCCCACAGUGCUUCAGAUUGCAGAUAAUGGGAAAGAAUACUCUAUUGUUGGCACGAGUGAAAACUUAUAUGGCCACUGUGGAAAUCACUAUGGUGGUCCUUCAGAAAAAUUUUAA
This is a non-coding RNA of Psammomys obesus (fat sand rat), 477 nucleotides long. Lineage: Eukaryota; Metazoa; Chordata; Mammalia; Rodentia; Muridae. The record is from the annotation of a RefSeq genome assembly.